Molecule: ribosomal RNA, 1604 nt
Filed under: human gut metagenome
Description: bacterial LSU rRNA
Rfam family: Bacterial large subunit ribosomal RNA
Source: RNAcentral
UAGCGGUGAAAUUCCAAUCGAACUCGGAGAUAGCUGGUUCUCCCCGAAAUAGCUUUAGGGCUAGCGUUGGCUUAGAUUACCGGAGGUAAAGCACUGAAUGGGCUAGGGGCCGAUAAGGUUACUGAACCCUAUCAAACUCUGAAUGCCGGAUAAUUGAUGGCCAGCAGUCAGUCUACGUGAGAUAAGUCUCGUGGACAAAAGGGAAACAGCCCAGACCCACAGCUAAGGUCCCAAAGAUACGCUAAGUGGAAAACGAUGUGGAGUUGCGAAAACAACCAGGAUGUUGGCUUAGAAGCAGCCACUCAUUAAAAGAGUGCGUAAUAGCUCACUGGUCGAGUGACUCUGCGCGGAAAAUAUAACGGGGCUAAGCGUAACACCGAAGCUUGGGCUGCACAGCAAUGUGCGGGGUAGGGGAGCGUCGAAUAUGGGGUGAAGUCGCAGCGGAAGCAGCGGUGGACUGUAUUCGAGUGAGAAUGCCGGAAUGAGUAGCGAGAAUUAUGUGGGAAUCAUAAUGGCCGAAAAUCUAAGGUUUCCUGGGGAAGGUUCGUCCGCCCAGGGUAAGCCGGGAGCUAAGGCGAGGCCGAAAGGCGUAGUCGAUGCACAUACGGUUGAAAUUCCGUAGCCACCGAACCUUAAGUACACUGACACAUAGAGAUAGCGGGACCCGGGCGUUGGUUGACCCGGGCGUAAGGGACCGAACUUUAGUAGGGAAGUCCGCGAUGCUCUGUGGCGAGAAAAGGUGUAUGGUAUGCUAAGGUGCCCGUACCGCAAACCGACACAGGUAGAUGAGGAGAGAAUCCUAAGGCCAACGGGAGAAGGGUUGUUAAGGAACUCGGCAAAAUGACCCCGUAACUUCGGGAUAAGGGGAGCCUCCUACGGGAGGCCGCAGCGAAUAGGCCCAAGCGACUGUUUACCAAAAACACAGGUCUCUGCUAAAUCGAAAGAUGACGUAUAGGGGCUGACGCCUGCCCGGUGCUGGAAGGUUAAGAGGAGAUGUUAGCCGCAAGGCGAAGCAUUGAAUCGAAGCCCCAGUAAACGGCGGCCGUAACUAUAACGGUCCUAAGGUAGCGAAAUUCCUUGUCAGGUAAGUUCUGACCCGCACGAAUGGCGUAACGACUUGGGCGCUGUCUCAACAGCCCACCCGGCGAAAUUGUUGUACUGGUGAAGAAGCCAGUUACCCGCAACUAGACGGAAAGACCCCAUGGAGCUUUACUGCAGCUUAAUACUGGAAAUCGGUAAAUCAUGUACAGGAUAGGUGGGAGACUUGGAAGCCAGGGCGUCAGCUUUGGUGGAGUCACCCUUGGGAUACCACCCUUGAUUUGCUGGUUUUCUAACCUGCGGCCGUGAAUCCGGUCGGGGGACACUGUUAGGUGGGCAGUUUGACUGGGGCGGUCGCCUCCUAAAAGGUAACGGAGGCGCUCAAAGGUUGGCUCAGCACGGACGGAAAUCGUGCAGUGAGUGUAAACGUAUAAGCCAGCCUAACUGCGAGACCGACGGGUCGAGCAGUAACGAAAGUUGGAGUUAGUGAUCCGGCGGUAUGCAAGUGGAAGUGCCGUCGCUCAACGGAUAAAAGCUACCCUGGGGAUAACAGGCUGAUCUCCCCC